This 459-nucleotide ribosomal RNA is filed under the name uncultured bacterium. RNAcentral describes it as "partial 16S ribosomal RNA". It matches the Rfam family "Bacterial small subunit ribosomal RNA", at positions 338 to 795 of the family's 1533-position model. The record is from RNAcentral.
CCUACGGGAGGCAGCAGUGAGGAAUAUUGGUCAAUGGACGGAAGCCUGAACCAGCCAUGCCGCGUGCAGGAAGACGGCUCUAUGAGUUGUAAACUGCUUUUGUACAAGAGUAAACCUGAAUACGUGUAUUCAGCUGAAAGUACUGUACGAAUAAGGAUCGGCUAACUCCGUGCCAGCAGCCGCGGUAUAACGGAGGAUCCAAGGGUUAUCCGGAUUUAUUGGGUUUAAAGGGUGCGUAGGGGGAUGGAUAAGUCAGCGGGAAAAGCCCGGGGCUCAACCCCGGCGAGCCGUUGAAACUGGCGGGCUGGAGUUGGAGAGAAGUACGCGGAAUGCGCGGUGUAGCGGUGAAAUGCUUAGAUAUCGCGAAGAACCCCGAUUGCGAAGGCAGCGUACUGGCUCCACACUGACGCUGAGGCACGAAAGCGUGGGUAUCGAACAGGAUUAGAUACCCUAGUAGUC